This 200-nucleotide ribosomal RNA is filed under the name uncultured bacterium. Its description in RNAcentral is "partial 16S ribosomal RNA". It matches the Rfam family "Bacterial small subunit ribosomal RNA", at positions 8 to 206 of the family's 1533-position model. The record is from RNAcentral.
AGAGUUUGAUCCUGGCUCAGGAUAAACGCUGGCGGCGUGCCUAACACAUGCAAGUCGAACGCCCUUGGGCUCGCAAGAGCACGAGGGAGUGGCGGACGGGUGAGUAACACAUGGGUGACCUACCCUCUGGUGAGGAAUACCGGCGAGAAAUCGCCGACAAGACCGCAUAGGGGCUGCUGGCUGGAGCCAGCAGCGCAAAG